RNAcentral lists this ribosomal RNA (301 nucleotides) under uncultured bacterium. RNAcentral describes it as "partial 16S ribosomal RNA". It matches the Rfam family "Bacterial small subunit ribosomal RNA", at positions 509 to 809 of the family's 1533-position model. The record is from RNAcentral.
CAGCCGCCACGGUAAUACGUAGGUGGCAAGCGUUAUCCGGAAUUAUUGGGCGUAAAGCGCGCGUAGGCGGUUUUUUAAGUCUGAUGUGAAAGCCCACGGCUCAACCGUGGAGGGUCAUUGGAAACUGGAAAACUUGAGUGCAGAAGAGGAAAGUGGAAUUCCAUGUGUAGCGGUGAAAUGCGCAGAGAUAUGGAGGAACACCAGUGGCGAAGGCGACUUUCUGGUCUGUAACUGACGCUGAUGUGCGAAAGCGUGGGGAUCAAACAGGAUUAGAUACCCCAGUAGUCCCUGUCUCUUAUAA